This 465-nucleotide ribosomal RNA is filed under the name uncultured bacterium. RNAcentral's name for it is "partial 16S ribosomal RNA". It matches the Rfam family "Bacterial small subunit ribosomal RNA", at positions 28 to 507 of the family's 1533-position model. The record is from RNAcentral.
GACGAACGCUGGCGGCGUGCUUAACACAUGCAAGUCGAACGGAAAGGCCCCUUUGGGGGUACUCGAGUGGCGAACGGGUGAGUAACACGUGAGUAACCUGCCCUUGACUUCGGGAUAACUUCAGGAAACUGGGGCUAAUACCGGAUAGGAAUCCUUGCUGCAUGUUUGGGGUUGGAAAGCUUCGGCGGUUUUGGAUGGACUCGCGGCUUAUCAGCUUGUUGGUUGGGUAGUGGCUUACCAAGGCUUUGACGGGUAGCCGGCCUGAUAGGGCGACCGGCCACAUUGGGACUGAGAAACGGCCAAGACUCCUACGGGAGGCAGAAGUGGGGAAUAUUGCACAAUGGGCGGAAACCUGAUGCAGCAACGCCGCGUGAGGGAGGACGGCCUUCGGGUUGUAAACCGCUUUCAGCAGGGGCGAAGCUUGUGGUGACGGUACCUGCAGAAGAAGCACCGGCUAACUACGUG